UACGAAGGGUGCAAGCGUUAAUCGGAAUUACUGGGCGUAAAGCGUGCGUAGGUGGUUGUUCAAGUCUGUCGUGAAAGCCCUGGGCUCAACCUGGGAAUGGCGAUGGAAACUGGGCGACUGGAGUGCGGUAGAGGAUGGCGGAAUUCCCGGUGUAGCGGUGAAAUGCGUAGAGAUCGGGAGGAACAUCCGUGGCGAAGGCGGCCAUCUGGACCAGCACUGACACUGAGGCACGAAAGCGUGGGGAGCAAACAGGAUUAGAUACCCUGGUAGUCCACGCCCUAAACGAUGCGAACUGGAUGUUGGUCUCAACUUGGAGAUCAGUGUCGAAGCUAACGCGUUAAGUUCGCCGCCUGGGGAGUACGGUCGCAAGACUGAA
This 376-nucleotide ribosomal RNA is filed under the name uncultured bacterium. RNAcentral's name for it is "bacterial SSU rRNA". It matches the Rfam family "Bacterial small subunit ribosomal RNA", at positions 524 to 898 of the family's 1533-position model. The record is from RNAcentral.